GCCCGGAUGGCGGAAUGGCAGACGCGGCCGGCUUAAACCCGGCUGGUGGGCAACCACCGUGCGGGUUCGAAUCCCGCUCCGGGCA
This 85-nucleotide transfer RNA is filed under the name Acidimicrobiia bacterium. Its description in RNAcentral is "tRNA-Leu". It matches the Rfam family "tRNA". From Rfam's summary of the family: Transfer RNA (tRNA) molecules are approximately 80 nucleotides in length. Their secondary structure includes four short double-helical elements and three loops (D, anti-codon, and T loops). The record is from RNAcentral. Lineage: Bacteria; Bacillati; Actinomycetota; Acidimicrobiia.